UAAGAAAAAAAGGAAAAUUGAUCAUUCAGGUGUUACACUAAAUGAUCAAUUUGAUAAAAAUCACGAAAGUGUGAAAGUAAACAAAGAAAGUAGUAAACAUGAGAAAAAGUCAAAAAUGAUAUCAAAAAAUAUAAUUGAUAAGAACGCUAACUCCAAAUGUUCCUUUUCAGUAGUAGAUAAUCAUAUAACAGAGCCCUGUCAAAAAAAAAAAAUAAAUAAAAUAAAAGAAGAAAAAGAAAUACAUACUAGUAAAAGUCAGCUAAAUAGUGUUGAAAAUGGUGUAUGCUGGUCAGAGAAUAAUAACCUUGGUGAAAUUCUGGAGGGUGAAGAUGACACUUGUAAAAAAAAGAAAGGUAUUAAGCAUGACUUAAAAUAUAUUACUAACAAGAAUACUAAAAAACUAAAAAAAACUGGUAUAUCUAAGAAAGAAAAAUUAUCUUUAAAAAGAAACGUCACUUUUGUAGAAGAGAGACCAAGUGUAGCUUCUAUGCAAAGUGGUACAGAUAAAGAAAAAAAUAAUAUGAAGAAAAAAAAAAAAAAAAUGAAUAAAGAUAAAAUAAAAAACAAACAGAUAAAGGAUGUUAAUGAACAACGCGUUCCAUAUAAUAAUAAUUAUAAACAUGAAGAAGAAGAAAAUAUUAAAAUAACAUUUAAUGUAACUAAUCGUUUUACAGUAUUAGGUUGCGAUUGGGACAAUUUGUCAAGUACUGAUAUUUUUUAUUUAUUUGAAUCUUAUUACAAUUUUGAAAAACGUAAAAAAAAAAAAAUUGAUUAUACAAAGAGUAAAGCAGUUAAAAAAGUUACCAUAUAUACAUCUAAGUAUGGAGAAAAGAAACUUAAAUAUGAAGAAGAACACGGUCCGCUUUUUAGUAUUGAUAUUUUAAAAAAAGCAAAAAGGAAAAAUAAAAUGGCAAUAUAUAGAAAAAAUAACUUUUUAGAUUGUAUAAAAGAUGAUACGUUUGUUGGAAAAGGAGAAAAGAGAGAAAUUGUUGAAGAAACUGAAGAAGAGGAAGAGGAAGAGGGAGAGGAAGAGGAAGAGGAAGAGAGAGAGGGAGAGGAAGAGGAAGAGGAAGAGGAAAAGGAAAAGAAAGAAGAAGAUGAAGAAGAAGAAGAAGAAGAAAAGGAAAAGAAAGAAGAAGAUGAAGAAGAAGAAGAAGAAGAAGAAGAAGACGAAGAAGAAGAAGACGAAGAAGACGAAGAAGAAGAAGAAAAGGAGCAAGAAGAAGAAAAUAACUCAUCCGAUUCAUCAGAUCUUAGAACAAAUAAAAACACAAAUGACAUUUUACACACUACUGCUCAUGAUGAAGAAGAAAACAAUGAAAAAAUACGACUAUACCAAAUACAACGGUCAAAAUAUUAUUUUGCUUUAGUAGAAUGCUAUAAUAAAGAAAUAGUCGAGUUUUUAUAUGAAGAGCUAAAUGAUAUGGAUGCAGAUUUUUGUAUUAAUUAUUUAGAUCUGCGGAUAAUAGAUGAUAAUUGUAAUCUUGAUGAUUAUAUUAUCAAAGAAUCAUGUGAUAAGAUUCCAGAUAAUUAUGAGUUUCAUUAUAAUUUUAGUACAGCUUUAAAGCAUAGUAAUGUAAAAUCAACAUGGGAUGAAAAUUUGAAGAGAAAAAAAAUAUUAUCAACAAAGUUUACUGAAGAACAAUUAAGAGAAUUAGACUUAAAAGAAUAUUUAGCUAAUUCAUCUAGUGAUGAUGAAAAUGAUAAUGUUCAGGAAAACGAUUCAGAAUUGCACACAAAGUUAAUUAAUAAAAAUGAAUAUAACAGCAAACAGAAAUAUAGAGAUCUAUUAUUAGGGGAUAUACUAACAAAUAUAAAAGAUGAUAACUCUGACCAACAUAGCUUGUUAGAAUUAGAUGAUUCCUUAGAAUUAAAUAAUGACAAAUAUUUCCACGAAGACAAUGAAAAUGUUAUAGAAAAGGUAGAGGUUACUAGUGAAAAUAAUCGGGGUUAUCCUUGGUGUACUAAACAAGUGGAGAAAUCUAUGAAAGAUAAAAAAAAAGUGGAAACUGUAAAAAAUGACACAAAAAGAACUAAUGAUACAUUACAUUUGUUAGAGAAAAAAUGUAACAAAAAUUAUGCUAUUACUAAAAAUGAUGCAUAUAUAAAAAAUAAUGAACACGUUAUACAAAAAGAUAAAAAACAAAAGAAUGGUAAACAUAAUUAUAAUAAUAAUGCUUAUUUGAAUAAUAAUGAUGAUAACGACCUUGACGAUGAAAAUGAUAUGAUAAAUAUUUUUAAAAAUAUGAUGAAAAAUAAAGAGAAGAAAGAAGUUAAGAAAACUCCGUGGGAAUUAUAUUUGGAUAAAUAUAAAGAGAAAAAGAAAUUGAAGAAAAAAUCUUAUUUAGAACAUUUAAAAAAAAGAGAUGAAGAAAUAAAAAAAAUAAUAACUAAAAAAUCAAAUAAAAGAAAAAAAGACAUCACAGUAAAAAAUCAUGAAGAUAAUAUUAAUAAAAAGAAAAAAGGUGAUAGUUACAUACUUGAUGAGAGGUUUACUGAUCUCAUUAAAAACAAAGAUUUUAAUUUGGAUAUAACAAAUCCAAAAUUUAAAAAAACGAAAUUUAAUGAAGAAAUUUUUGAAAAAAAAAUGA
Long non-coding RNA from Piliocolobus tephrosceles (Ugandan red Colobus), 2591 nucleotides. The record is from Ensembl. Lineage: Eukaryota; Metazoa; Chordata; Mammalia; Primates; Cercopithecidae.